RNAcentral lists this ribosomal RNA (480 nucleotides) under Fusarium solani. RNAcentral's name for it is "eukaryotic LSU rRNA". It matches the Rfam family "Eukaryotic large subunit ribosomal RNA", at positions 68 to 559 of the family's 3401-position model. Lineage: Eukaryota; Fungi; Ascomycota; Sordariomycetes; Hypocreales; Nectriaceae. The record is from RNAcentral.
ACAGGGAUUGCCCCAGUAACGGCGAGUGAAGCGGCAACAGCUCAAAUUUGAAAUCUGGCUCUCGGGCCCGAGUUGUAAUUUGUAGAGGAUGCUUUUGGUGAGGUGCCUUCCGAGUUCCCUGGAACGGGACGCCAUAGAGGGUGAGAGCCCCGUCUGGUUGGACGCCGAACCUCUGUAAAGCUCCUUCGACGAGUCGAGUAGUUUGGGAAUGCUGCUCUAAAUGGGAGGUAUAUGUCUUCUAAAGCUAAAUACCGGCCAGAGACCGAUAGCGCACAAGUAGAGUGAUCGAAAGAUGAAAAGAACUUUGAAAAGAGAGUUAAACAGUACGUGAAAUUGUUGAAAGGGAAGCGCUUGUGACCAGACUUGGGCUUGGUUGAUCAUCCGGGGUUCUCCCCGGUGCACUCUUCCGGCCCAGGCCAGCAUCAGUUCGCCCUGGGGGACAAAGGCAUCGGGAACGUGGCUCUCUCCGGGGAGUGUUAU